This 250-nucleotide ribosomal RNA is filed under the name uncultured bacterium. Its description in RNAcentral is "partial 16S ribosomal RNA". It matches the Rfam family "Bacterial small subunit ribosomal RNA", at positions 804 to 1058 of the family's 1533-position model. The record is from RNAcentral.
AAACGAUGGAUGCCCGCUGUUAGCGCCUGGCGUUAGCGGCUAAGCGAAAGCAUUAAGCAUCCCACCUGGGGAGUACGCCGGCAACGGUGAAACUCAAAGGAAUUGACGGGGGCCCGCACAAGCGGAGGAACAUGUGGUUUAAUUCGAUGAUACGCGAGGAACCUUACCCGGGCUUGAAUUGCAGACGCAGGAUACAGAGAUGUUGACUCCCUUCGGGGCGUCUGUGAAGGUGCUGCAUGGCUGUCGUCAG